UCAAUCAGCUCUCUGGCUUUAGAAAUGUAGGCACCCAUGGCGUCUUCCUUCGACAACCCUAGAGAGACACAGACACGUCAUCUCCCAGACCGGUGUGGUGGGUGGCAAACUUCCUCACAUCUUGUGCGGCCUGGUCAAAAUCAGCCUAGAGCAGAAGAUGGCAAGGACAUGCAAAAGGCACACGUGUGGUGCAUAUACAUUACCUGCAAGCAAGGUACUCACAUAAAAUCUAAUUCUUAAAGAAAAAUGUAAGGUCUCACGUCAACUGAUUUCCAGGAAAACAAAGUCGUUUAUCUUCGGGUUGAUUAGCAAACGUGUAUUGUAAAUAAAAAAUUUUUGGUAA
Non-coding RNA from Rattus norvegicus (Norway rat), 343 nucleotides. Lineage: Eukaryota; Metazoa; Chordata; Mammalia; Rodentia; Muridae. The record is from RefSeq and is a predicted model, not a curated record.